RNAcentral lists this non-coding RNA (155 nucleotides) under Gaiellales bacterium. Its description in RNAcentral is "6S RNA". It matches the Rfam family "6S / SsrS RNA". Rfam says of the family: E. coli 6S RNA was the first non coding RNA to be sequenced, but its function was unknown until recently. The record is from RNAcentral. Lineage: Bacteria; Bacillati; Actinomycetota; Thermoleophilia; Gaiellales.
UGUGCUCGACCUUGUGCGUGAUCUGCUCAGUCUUGAGCCAACACGCGAUGAUCGGGAGGCUUGUUUCUCUGGGCGGUAGCAGUGCCCUCCAGGAGCAGCCACCCACCUGCUUAGGCAGGUUCAAGAUCACCCAGACACGGCAAGGUGGAGCAUUU